GGGAGCAGGAGCAGCUCCUGCCUGGCUGCGGUGAGGCUGGAUUCCAUGAAGACCAGAAGCACCCCACUUCCACAUCAGCUUUUCACCAUCUCCCCAGCUCUCAGCAGAUUGGGUCAGGAACUCUUACAGAUGCUGCUCCCCCUUUGAUCAGCUUCUCAGCUAAUAAAUCCCUGGCAGGGCUUUGGGAAGCUGGAUGUACAACUCAGACCUGUCAGCGGGAGAAAAUCCCCAUGGAGCUGGGCUGGGAUUCUCCUGUUCUUGGAGGGAAUGCCGGAGGCUCAGGUUUUGCAUCUGGCUGAUGUGAAGGAAAGUCCUUUUGAUGUGGUUCCUUGGCCCAAGAACCUGCAAACCACCGUUAACCCCCAGUUCACGCUUGCAAGCGGAUCGGGUUGAUUUCAGCAUCGCUGCUGUGAGUUCUCAAACCUCUCAUUAGCUGCUGCUUGCUGCAUUUCCUUCACUAAUAAAAAGGAAUUGCUUGGCUCAACCACCAGGCAUCGAUGAAGCUGUGUCUGUGAUUCUCCACCAUCUCCACCAGGUAGCCCUGUUUGCGGCAAGGAAACCAAGAUCUGCUGUGAUCUGCACCGAAAUUGAAGUGGGACCUCAGGAAGUUGAAUGAAGAAUCAACAAGGUUGGAAAAGAGCUUUAAGCUCAUCAAGACCAACCGUUCCCAGCACUGCCAAGGCCACCACUAACCCAUGGCACUGAAGGCCUUGGCUACACGGGGUGUGAACACUUGCAGGCACGGUGACUCCAGCCCUGCCCUGGGCAGCCUGUUCCAAUGCCUGAGCAUCCUUUGGGGAAGGAAUUGUUCCUCAUCUCCAGUUUAACCCUCCCCUGGAGGUAUUGCCUCUUUCCUAGCUGCUCUCAGCCAUCACAGCACAUUCUGCUGACUUCAGUGAACCCAUCAAUCUGAUUAUCUGCUGUGGCAAAGAGACAAGUUCAACUCAAUUAACAUUUAUGGAUUCCACAGUGCUUUGCAUAAAUGUUUGCUUAAUACACAAGUCAAAAAUAUCCCCAGAAAAUGAAAAUUAAAGAUAGUUAAUUGCUUGCAGCUAUGCAC
Molecule: long non-coding RNA, 1060 nt
Filed under: Strigops habroptila (Kakapo)
Lineage: Eukaryota; Metazoa; Chordata; Aves; Psittaciformes; Psittacidae
Description: lncRNA (ENSSHBG00005005983.1)
Source: RNAcentral